GUGUGGGAUAGCUCAGUUGGUAGAAUAUGAGGCUCUUAAUCUCAGGGUCAUGGGUUCAAGUUCCACAUCAAGCA
Non-coding RNA from Podarcis lilfordi (Lilford's wall lizard), 74 nucleotides. The record is from the annotation of a GenBank genome assembly. Lineage: Eukaryota; Metazoa; Chordata; Lepidosauria; Squamata; Lacertidae.